AGAUUGAACGCUGGCGGCAUGCCUAACACAUGCAGGUCGAACGGGAGUAGCAAUACUCUAGUGGCGGACGGGUGAGGAAUACGUAGGAAUUUGCCCUUAAGUGGGGGAUAACCCGGGGAAACCCGGAUUAAUACCGCAUGACCUCGAAAGAGCAAAGUGGGGGAUCGCAAGACCUCACGCUUUUGGAGAAGCCUACGUCGGAUUAGCUAGUUGGUGAGGUAAUGGCUCACCAAGGCGACGAUCCGUAACUGGUCUGAGAGGAUGAUCAGUCACACCGGAACUGAGACACGGUCCGGACUCCUACGGGAGCAGCAGUGGGAAUAUGGACAAUGGGCGCAAGCCUGAUCCAGCAAUGACCGCGUGUGUGAAGAAGGCCUUACGGUGUUAAGCGACGUUUAAGUUAGGGUAAGUAAAAAC
Molecule: ribosomal RNA, 417 nt
Filed under: uncultured soil bacterium
Lineage: Bacteria
Description: bacterial SSU rRNA
Rfam family: Bacterial small subunit ribosomal RNA
Source: RNAcentral